RNAcentral lists this ribosomal RNA (253 nucleotides) under uncultured bacterium. RNAcentral describes it as "partial 16S ribosomal RNA". It matches the Rfam family "Bacterial small subunit ribosomal RNA", at positions 524 to 776 of the family's 1533-position model. The record is from RNAcentral.
GACAGAGGAUGCAAGCGUUAUCCGGAAUGAUUGGGCGUAAAGCGUCUGUAGGUGGCUUUUCAAGUCCGCCGUCAAAUCCCAGGGCUCAACCCUGGACAGGCGGUGGAAACUACCAAGCUAGAGUACGGUAGGGGCAGAGGGAAUUUCCGGUGGAGCGGUGAAAUGCAUUGAGAUCAGAAAGAACACCAACGGCGAAAGCACUCUGUUGGGCCGACACUGACACUAAGAGACGAAAGCUAGGGGAGCAAACGGG